This 539-nucleotide long non-coding RNA is filed under the name Sus scrofa (pig). RNAcentral's name for it is "lncRNA (ENSSSCG00030001889.1)". Lineage: Eukaryota; Metazoa; Chordata; Mammalia; Artiodactyla; Suidae. The record is from RNAcentral.
UAAGAAAAGGAGGAUGUAGUACUCAAAAAAUGCCCCAAAUCCCUAAAGAGUGCAUAAUUAACAUACUGGCAAAACAUUAAAAUUUAAUAUUCCUUAUUUCAGCCUUAUUCCAUCUUCCUGAGGCCAACACUCCAAUGUGGCCUGAGCAAUAUCCAUUCAUCCUGUGUGUCAGAGUGGCAGUGCUGUGAAGUAGCCACAAGCGGAGGAAAAAAAACCUCUGACAUUUUCCUCUUGCUAUUCCAAUUGCUAAGCCAAGGGGACUUGCUGCCUACAAAUAAAGGUUCCUUUAAAAACAUUCCGUUAACCAAAAGCCGUAUGAUUGUUUGAGGAGGCACACAUCCAUUAAAAUGAAUAUGUCGGGGAGAUGCCAAUCAGAAGACGGCUGAAGAAUUAUUGCUAAAUGUGAGUUUGCUGCUCAAAGAGAAAUAGCAAAAAAAAAAAAAAAAAAAAAAAAAAGUGUUAGCAUUAAUUACUAGGUUUACAGCACUUCAGCUCCACUCCAAAAUAAAUGAAUAACUAAGUAACGUGUGGAGAGCUAA